GAUGAACGCUGGCGGCGUGCCUAAUACAUGCAAGUCGAGCGAACAGACGAGGAGCUUGCUCCUCUGACGUUAGCGGCGGACGGGUGAGUAACACGUGGAUAACCUACCUAUAAGACUGGGAUAACUUCGGGAAACCGGAGCUAAUACCGGAUAAUAUAUUGAACCGCAUGGUUCAAUAGUGAAAGACGGUUUUGCUGUCACUUAUAGAUGGAUCCGCGCCGCAUUAGCUAGUUGGUAAGGUAACGGCUUACCAAGGCGACGAUGCGUAGCCGACCUGAGAGGGGGAAUGGGCCAAACGGAAAUGAGGAAACGGUCCAAAUCCUAACGGAGGGCGGAGGAAGGGAAUUUUCGGAAAGGGGCGAAGGCCUGAGGGGGAAAGGCGGGGGGAUGAAGGAAGUCUUCGGAUUCGUAAAACUUGGUAAUAAGGAAAAACCAAAUGGGAAGGUAACAAGGAAGGCUUGAAGGUAACCAAUCAGGAAAGCACGGCUAACUACGUG
This 497-nucleotide ribosomal RNA is filed under the name uncultured bacterium. RNAcentral's name for it is "partial 16S ribosomal RNA". It matches the Rfam family "Bacterial small subunit ribosomal RNA", at positions 28 to 507 of the family's 1533-position model. The record is from RNAcentral.